RNAcentral lists this transfer RNA (75 nucleotides) under Bacteriophage sp. RNAcentral's name for it is "tRNA-Thr". It matches the Rfam family "tRNA". Rfam says of the family: Transfer RNA (tRNA) molecules are approximately 80 nucleotides in length. Their secondary structure includes four short double-helical elements and three loops (D, anti-codon, and T loops). RNAcentral also lists the same sequence under 2 other names. The record is from RNAcentral.
GCUGAUGUGGCGCAAUGGCAGCGCAAUUGAUUUGUAAUCAAUAGGCUGUGAGUUCGAGUCUCACCAUCAGCUCCA